This 709-nucleotide ribosomal RNA is filed under the name Globisporangium attrantheridium. RNAcentral describes it as "eukaryotic LSU rRNA". It matches the Rfam family "Eukaryotic large subunit ribosomal RNA", at positions 81 to 628 of the family's 3401-position model. Lineage: Eukaryota; Oomycota; Peronosporomycetes; Pythiales; Pythiaceae. The record is from RNAcentral.
UAGUAACGGCGAGUGAAGCGGGAUGAGCUCAAGCUUAAAAUCUCUGUGCCAGUUUGGCAUGGCGAAUUGUAGUCUAUAGAGGCGUUGUCAGUGCAGCUGUGCGGGGUAAGUUCCUUGGAAGAGGACAGCAUCGAGGGUGAUACUCCCGUUUGUACCUGUGCGGCUUGCGCGUACGACACGUUUUCUUCGAGUCGCGUUGUUUGGGACUGCAGCGCAAAGUAGGUGGUAAAUUCCAUCUAAAGCUAAAUAUUGGUGCGAGACCGAUAGCGAACAAGUACCGUGAGGGAAAGAUGAAAAGAACUUUGAAAAGAGAGUUAAAGAGUACCUGAAACUGCUGAAAGGGAAGCGAAUCGUAUCCAGUGUCUAUAAUCUGCGGCAUAUUUCAUUGGCGGCGGUGCGCGUGCUUUUGCGUCGGAAGCGGCUUUUGUUGCUCUGUGCUUUUGCUGUGCGUGGUGUUGCUGGUGCCCUGUGUUGCGGUGGGACGUCAGAGUCAGUUUGUAUGCUGCGGGAAAUGGCUGCCGAGGAGGUAGGUCGAGAUUUCGGUCUUGGCUGUUAUAUCUUGGUGGUUUGUUGUCGUGGUUGAGACUGAGGUGCCUACAAUGUGCUUUUGAGUGCGCCGGGUUCUCAUUUGGUGGACUGUUUGGAUAGCUUGCUAUGCUUGUGGUUUUUUCAUCGGGUGAUUGAGUCUGGUGGUAACUUAUUGCCGUUC